UUAAUAAUGGGGGAAAAUAAACAUUGCACACAGCAGUAUAAAAUGAUAAUGCAGCCAGUUUCCUAAAUGACAGAUGAGAUAAAGCUUGAGUCUGUAACUCAGGAAACACAUCAGCAUUUUCAUCACACACAGCCUGGAAUGCUAGCUAUAAACAAUAGGCUGAACACGUAAGGGGAGGAAAGGAGAGAAUUAGUAAGUCUAAACAAUUUAUCUAAGAGGAGUUAAUGAGCUACUUCUGUGUUUCAGUACAAACACAGGGCUUUAGCUCAAAUGAGCAGAUUCUUUAAGGUAGCAUCUGUAGAAAUUUUAGCAGCAGUGGAAGGAAGGGAGAAUGAUAAAAGGGUUGUGCAGAGGAGCUUUGUCAUUACUUUGAAGAGGGGAACUGCUCCAUCCUGGGAUAGGUUGGGAGAGGGUAGGUGCCCACUUGCUGUGGAGGAUGUGAUGGCAUUUGUUUACCUUGGAGCUGAUCAGGACUGCUCAUAGGCAGAAGUAAACCUCUUUAGAGCUGGGGAGUGUGACGAUGAGCCUUCCAUGGAAGCAUGAACUUCAGAUGAGCUCCUUGGGGGCACCAGGGAACUGAAACAUAUAAACAGUACACAGGCAUAUGGGAUAGAACUGAGCUGCUAUUACCAGGCAGACACUGGAUACUGCAGCUGCAGUCAGCGGAGCUGUGGGAUUUCUCUUCAGCACCACACACUGUAUGGUAACAAGUCCCUGCAGAGUCUGCUAGGGAACAUCCAUUUAUCUACAAGUGCACGCUGUAAACUGGUCUACAUGAAAUGUGGUUAAUUAACCUGCCAUCACCUUAUUUUCCGUGAGUCCGCAGUCCCAUUAUCUACUUGGAAGAAGAGUGUCAUUUCUCAGCAUCCAAAAAUGUUCUGUUCCCAGCUCCUGUAAAAGCUCCUGUUGUGCGUUUCAUCCCGACUGUAAAAAUUUCAUUGUCCCAAGAUCACAUCAUGAUUCAGAGAUCAAGUUUGUCUUUGAUGAAUCUGGGGCUUGAUCAAGUAAUUGUAUUAUCAGGAGAUCAACAGGAGCUGGAGAAGGGAUUUGAGCUGGUGGCUGCUCUCUGCAUCAGUGCAGGUGGUGGCAGCUGCCUCCUGGCCAGGCUGGCUCCUCGCUGUGUUCUGCCUCCACUGAUGAUGCUCCAGCUUCACCAGCCAGCCAGAACAGCACAGGCUUUGACAGACAUCUGUCAGAUGGAGAGGUAAAAUUCAAACAAACAGGGGCAGCCCUGGGUCUGUAGGUGUAUAUUUUACAAAGCUGUCUCUGAUAAUAGUUUAUAUAUUAUUUAGCCACUUUCCUGAGCUAGUGCUCAUUGGUCAGAGUGGUGAAGGACAGCAUUCAGAUCAUCUCUGUAAGCUGAACUGUCAUGUUAAACUGCUUCAGAAGAAAAAUGGUUAGCUGUGGACAUAUUUUCUAUUAUAUAAUCCACUUCCUUGGUUUUGAGAUCUUUUUCAUUCCCCUGUCCCUCAGAGAGAUAUGCUAUACUUCCAAAUUAAUGCAUUUUGACUACAGCUUCAGCCUUUUUCCACUUGUUUGUCUGCUGGGAAUGCACGCAGCAGACCAAGGUAAAGCAAUAACAGGAAAGCAUCUAAGCUUAGAAGCACAAUAACCAGAGGCACUCUCACAGAGCAAGUGGUAAGGUCAUGGAGAAGUCACAAGGAGGGCAGGACCUAAAAGAAAAAAGGACUGAAACAGGAUAUGUACACAGAAAUAAUGCUGAUAACAUCUUUGUCUUGUGUUCAAAGCACUCUGGCCCCUAACAAGCGAGAGCAGUGUGACUCGAUGAGUAGGAAAUAAGGGAUGGAAGAGUAGCAGGUGGCUCUGGGCAUCUGUAAUUCCUGUCUAGCAGAAGUCAGGGUGGUGAUGAGGACUUGCUUACUCAGGUCAAGAGGAUUCAGGAUGCCAGCAGAUGUGCAAGGGGUAGCAAAAUGCCUGAGGGAAACAGCUGAAGCAGCUGUUGGUGUUGCAGGAGCAGAGGACCAGGACAAGCAUCUGACAAACAUCAAACUAGGAGAGGAGCCAUCCCUGCAGCAAAUCAUACCAGUUAAACUGGCUCUUGUUCCCCACACUGGAAAACGUUAGUCAAGCAAAUAUCUUUACAAACUCCUGCUGAAACUGAUGACUGAGGAUUGCAAAACCUGCCCCUUUCUUGUCCUGUGCUCUGCUCUUGGCUCAUCUGAGGGCCUGGAGAAGUUCAGCAGCUCAGUGAAGCAAAUGGCACCCCCCUCCCCACAAGGGCAAUGCAUAGCCCACAUGAAACUGUGAUUGUGAUUAAAACAGAAAAGUGGUAGCU
Molecule: non-coding RNA, 2296 nt
Organism: Taeniopygia guttata (zebra finch)
Lineage: Eukaryota; Metazoa; Chordata; Aves; Passeriformes; Estrildidae
Source: RefSeq, a predicted model, not a curated record